Molecule: ribosomal RNA, 377 nt
Filed under: uncultured bacterium
Lineage: Bacteria
Description: bacterial SSU rRNA
Rfam family: Bacterial small subunit ribosomal RNA
Source: RNAcentral
UAAUACGUAGGUGGCAAGCGUUGUCCGGAUUUAUUGGGCGUAAAGGGAACGCAGGCGGUCUUUUAAGUCUGAUGUGAAAGCCUUCGGCUUAACCGGAGUAGUGCAUUGGAAACUGGAAGACUUGAGUGCAGAAGAGGAGAGUGGAACUCCAUGUGUAGCGGUGAAAUGCGUAGAUAUAUGGAAGAACACCAGUGGCGAAAGCGGCUCUCUGGUCUGUAACUGACGCUGAGGUUCGAAAGCGUGGGUAGCAAACAGGAUUAGAUACCCUGGUAGUCCACGCCGUAAACGAUGAAUGCUAGGUGUUGGAGGGUUUCCGCCCUUCAGUGCCGCAGCUAACGCAAUAAGCAUUCCGCCUGGGGAGUACGACCGCAAGGUUG